GAUGAACGCUGGCGGCGUGCCUAAUACAUGCAAGUCGAGCGAACAGACGAGGAGCUUGCUCCUCUGACGUUAGCGGCGGACGGGUGAGUAACACGUGGAUAACCUACCUAUAAGACUGGGAUAACUUCGGGAAACCGGAGCUAAUACCGGAUAAUAUAUUGAACCGCAUGGUUCAAUAGUGAAAGACGGUUUUGCUGUCACUUAUAGAUGGAUCCGCGCCGCAUUAGCUAGUUGGUAAGGUAACGGCUUACCAAGGCAACGAUGCGUAGCCGACCUGAGAGGGUGAUCGGCCACACUGGAACUGAGACACGGGCCAGACUCCGACGGGAGGCAGCGGUAGGGAAUCUUCCGCAAGGGGCGGAAGCCUGACGGAGCAACGCCGCGUGAGUGAUGAAGGUCUUCGGAUCGUAAAACUCUGUUAUUAGGGAAGAACAAAUGUGUAAGUAACUAUGCACGUCUUGACGGUACCUAAUCAGAAAGCCACGGCUAACUACGUG
RNAcentral lists this ribosomal RNA (497 nucleotides) under uncultured bacterium. RNAcentral describes it as "partial 16S ribosomal RNA". It matches the Rfam family "Bacterial small subunit ribosomal RNA", at positions 28 to 507 of the family's 1533-position model. The record is from RNAcentral.